UCCCUGGUGGCUCAGUUGGUAAAGAAUCUGCCUGCAGUGCAGGAGACCUGGGUUUGAUUCCUGGGUUGGGAA
RNAcentral lists this transfer RNA (72 nucleotides) under Bos taurus (domestic cattle). It matches the Rfam family "tRNA". From Rfam's summary of the family: Transfer RNA (tRNA) molecules are approximately 80 nucleotides in length. Their secondary structure includes four short double-helical elements and three loops (D, anti-codon, and T loops). RNAcentral also lists the same sequence under 1 other name. Lineage: Eukaryota; Metazoa; Chordata; Mammalia; Artiodactyla; Bovidae. The record is from Rfam by way of RNAcentral.